This 377-nucleotide ribosomal RNA is filed under the name uncultured bacterium. Its description in RNAcentral is "bacterial SSU rRNA". It matches the Rfam family "Bacterial small subunit ribosomal RNA", at positions 521 to 896 of the family's 1533-position model. The record is from RNAcentral.
UAAGACGAACCGUACGAACGUUAUUCGGAAUCACUGGGCUUAAAGGGUGCGUAGGCGGCGCGGAAAGUUGGGUGUGAAAGCCCUCGGCUCAACCGAGGAAUUGCGCCCAAAACUACCGUGCUUGAGGGAGACAGAGGUGAGUGGAACUAAGGGUGGAGCGGUGAAAUGCGUUGAUAUCCUUAGGAACACCGGUGGCGAAAGCGACUCACUGGGUCUCUACUGACGCUGAGGCACGAAAGCUAGGGGAGCGAACGGGAUUAGAUACCCCGGUAGUCCUAGCCGUAAACGAUGAGCACUGGGUUGGAGGGCCUUCCAUAGCCUUCCGGCCGUAGCGAAAGUGUUAAGUGCUCCGCCUGGGGAGUAUGGUCGCAAGGCUG